This 497-nucleotide ribosomal RNA is filed under the name uncultured bacterium. RNAcentral's name for it is "partial 16S ribosomal RNA". It matches the Rfam family "Bacterial small subunit ribosomal RNA", at positions 28 to 507 of the family's 1533-position model. The record is from RNAcentral.
GAUGAACGCUGGCGGCAUGCCUAAUACAUGCAAGUCGAGCGAACAGACGAGGAGCUUGCUCCUCUGACGUUAGCGGCGGACGGGUGAGUAACACGUGGAUAACCUACCUAUAAGACUGGGAUAACUUCGGGAAACCGGAGCUAAUACCGGAUAAUAUAUUGAACCGCAUGGUUCAAUAGUGAAAGACAGUUUUGCUGUCACUUAUAGAUGGAUCCGCGCCGCAUUAGCUAGUUGGUAAGGUAACGGCUUACCAAGGCAACGAUGCGUAGCCGACCUGAGAGGGUGAUCGGCCACACUGGAACUGAGACACGGUCCAGACUCCUACGGGAGGCAGCAGUAGGGAAUCUUCCGCAAUGGGCGAAAGCCUGACGGAGCAACGCCGCGUGAGUGAUGAAGGUCUUCGGAUCGUAAAACUCUGUUAUUAGGGAAGAACAAAUGUGUAAGUAACUAUGCACGUCUUGACGGUACCUAAUCAGAAAGCCACGGCUAACUACGUG